UAGCUGUAAGGACCACAAAUUUACAGUGAAUUCUGCCCAGUGAUGAAGAUUAAACGGCCGCGUUUGUGCUAAGGUAGCAUAAUAAUUCGCCUUUUAAUUGGAGGCUAGUAUGAAGGGAAAUAUAAACUAAAACUUUAUUAUUUAUAAUCCUGAAACUUAUACUCAGUGUGAAAAUACACUGAUAAAUUAAAAAGACCAAAAGACCCUAGGAGCUUAAAUUAAAUAAGGGUUACCUUCUACUAAUUUUAAUUGGGGCGAUUCAGGAUAAACCUCCUGUGAAUAAAAAUUUUAAACCUUUUAUAACUAAACACAUAGCUACCCUAGGGAUAACAGGCUACUCUUUUUUAAAAGUCCAAAUUAACAAAAAGACAUAGCACCUCGAUGUUGGCUUAGGAGUAAGUAAAAUGUAGCAGUUUUACCCAACGGCUUGUUC
Molecule: ribosomal RNA, 433 nt
Filed under: Ophryotrocha maculata
Lineage: Eukaryota; Metazoa; Annelida; Polychaeta; Eunicida; Dorvilleidae
Description: partial 16S ribosomal RNA
Rfam family: Bacterial large subunit ribosomal RNA
Source: RNAcentral